Molecule: non-coding RNA, 25 nt
Filed under: Cricetulus griseus (Chinese hamster)
Lineage: Eukaryota; Metazoa; Chordata; Mammalia; Rodentia; Cricetidae
Source: RNAcentral
UCAGACUGGAAAGGCGGACGGCAGU